GAGGGAGGAGGGAAGAGGAGGGAGAAACGAUUUAGGGAGGGGAAAGCGUCGUGCGAGAUGGGGGUUGGAGAGGCACUCAUCAAGACGAGGACUGGGUAGUGGCGUCGGCUUCUGAGGGAGAGGGAGUGAAAGACGGUUAGAAGAAACCCUAACUUCCCGUUUAUAUAUGAUGAGUAAUAUUGGGUUGAGAUGGGCCGUCUGUUGGGCCACUAUUUCACGAGGUGGGUCUUGUAGUAUGUAACACCCUAAAAAUUGAUUUUUGGGAAUUAGAGCUAAAAUGAUUUAACUAUGAUUUUUUGUGCUCAUGAAAAUAUAGGAAAAAAUAAUAUUUUUCAUUAAAUUAAAAAUUAUCAUAGGAGUUAGCAAUGUGUUUGAGCAUGCAUGCCUUGGCAUUUUAUUUAUUGUGAUGGGUGUAAUGGAACUCAAAAUUCAAAAUGAUUUAAAAGGAUUUUAAAAUGAGUUUCAAAUGGUUUUUGAAUAAAGGAAAAAAAACAAAAAAAAGGAAAAGACCUCUCCCUGCUGAUGGCCCGAAGGCCCAACCUCCUCUCUCCCCUCGGCCACUCGGCCAGUGCCCCGCGGCCCAUUCCCCAGCCCAGCCAGCCGCCCCCUCCUAUCUCCUGUCUCUUUCUCUCCGACUGACAGCCCGGCCCCAUCUCCUUGCUCUCUGACCGGUGAAAGCCCAAGUUUGGUUUUGGUAAUUAAUGACACCAAGUUGCUAAUGCCUUGUGUUUAAGUGAUUUGAGUUAGGCAUAGCAACACAUGUGAUGAAGGUGCAUGGUGGCAUGGAAAGGUGGCCACACGAUCACAAAGGGAUGAAGCAUGAAGUGGAGAUCAUGGUGAUAGACGAGGAGCAAAGUUAUCAAGGCAAAGGUAUAAACAUAGGGUUUUACUUUUGCCGGUCUAAGAUGAGUAGAGAAGUGAUUGACCGGG
RNAcentral lists this long non-coding RNA (930 nucleotides) under Sorghum bicolor (sorghum). Its description in RNAcentral is "long non-coding RNA (SBIC_LNC001947)". The record is from RNAcentral. Lineage: Eukaryota; Viridiplantae; Streptophyta; Magnoliopsida; Poales; Poaceae.